GUAUGUUGGGGAGAUGGGCUGUUCUGUAGACCCUAAGUGUUGCUUUUAAAACAUGUUAAUUCGUCUGUUUUAUCAUGUUUAAAUAAAGGUCAUCCAUCCAUCCAUCCAUUCGUAUCUUAUUCUCGUUGAUGUUUCACUUAUUGCGCAACUGUACACACUUGCGUGACAGGCUUAGUUAUCGGAUUUCAUUGUGUAAGAGACGUACAUGUAGUUCUUUUCGAGGUCUCAUCGUUGCAACGCUACUUGUUCGCUACACGCUACCUUUUCCACCGCUACCCAUUGCCGCUAGGAGCCGGAAUAAAUGUAACUUUGUCAAGGGAUCUUUGAACAAGUUGAACCGCUGCAUCUUGAGGAACAGAACGAACGUCCACGCCAUUUAUCUGAAGAUUUGAGUUAAAAGGCAGUGAGAAUCAGAAACUUGGAUGACAUACCACGACUUGCUGGAGUGCCUUUUUCUCCACCAAUAGGAG
Long non-coding RNA from Stylophora pistillata, 470 nucleotides. Lineage: Eukaryota; Metazoa; Cnidaria; Anthozoa; Scleractinia; Pocilloporidae. The record is from RefSeq and is a predicted model, not a curated record.